AUUGGGCGUAAAGGGCUCGCAGGCGGUUUCUUAAGUCUGAUGUGAAAGCCCCCGGCUCAACCGGGGAGGGUCAUUGGAAACUGGGAAACUUGAGUGCAGAAGAGGAGAGUGGAAUUCCACGUGUAGCGGUGAAAUGCGUAGAGAUGUGGAGGAACACCAGUGGCGAAGGCGACUCUCUGGUCUGUAACUGACGCUGAGGAGCGAAAGCGUGGGGAGCGAACAGGAUUAGAUACCCUGGUAGUCCACGCCGUAAACGAUGAGUGCUAAGUGUUAGGGGGUUUCCGCCCCUUAGUGCUGCAGCUAACGCAUUAAGCACUCCGCCUGGGGAGUACGGUCGCAAGACUGAAACUCAAAGGAAUUGACGGGGGCCCGCACAAGCGGUGGAGCAUGUGGUUUAAUUCGAAGCAACGCGAAGAACCUUACCAGGUCUUGACAUCCUCUGACGACCCUAGAGAUAGGGCUUUCCCUUCGGGGACAGAGUGACAGGUGGUGCAUGGUUGUCGUCAGCUCGUGUCGUGAGAUGUUGGGUUAAGUCCCGCAACGAGCGCAACCCUUGAUCUUAGUUGCCAGCAUUCAGUUGGGCACUCUAAGGUGACUGCCGGUGACAAACCGGAGGAAGGUGGGGAUGACGUCAAAUCAUCAUGCCCCUUAUGACCUGGGCUACACACGUGCUACAAUGGACAGAACAAAGGGCUGCGAGACCGCAAGGGUUAGCCAAUCCCACAAAUCUGUUCUCAGUUCGGAUCGCAGUCU
This 753-nucleotide ribosomal RNA is filed under the name Bacillus subtilis. Its description in RNAcentral is "bacterial SSU rRNA". It matches the Rfam family "Bacterial small subunit ribosomal RNA", at positions 553 to 1306 of the family's 1533-position model. Lineage: Bacteria; Bacillati; Bacillota; Bacilli; Caryophanales; Bacillaceae. The record is from RNAcentral.